Molecule: long non-coding RNA, 975 nt
Organism: Perca flavescens (yellow perch)
Lineage: Eukaryota; Metazoa; Chordata; Actinopteri; Perciformes; Percidae
Exons: 4
Source: RefSeq, a predicted model, not a curated record
AGAUCCGAAAAAUUGCUUCGAUGAUGAUUUGUGUUCCUGUCUGGAUAAGACCUACUCAAAAAAAGAUCCUGGCUGGGAUAGCCUUUUGUCAACUCCCACCGUAUUGAUGUGUUAUAGCUGGACUGCGAAGCUUUCAUGUGAUGGAUGCAGACUUUGUCUUACUACUACUACUCCCCUUCUCUCAAAGUUCCUUACACAACUUGACCAACGCACUGAGCAGCUCAUGAAAGUGUUGAAGAAAAAAGGUGGCUCUGCAGGGAGGAAAAUCAGGAUCAUUAUGGCCCCAAUGACACAGGAAGCCGAUGGUACAGCUGUUGAGAGGAAGCUUGAGAAGUCACCUUUGGUAUCUACAGCAUUGAUGUUAAGGGAGGUGAUACCACCACUCCUCCAGCCGAUGUUGGAAUUGUGAUUCAGGGUGUUGAAGUUUUGCACGACUUGGGAGACUUUGCCUCUGCACGUGCCCUCAGUUAUCCUAACAGACUGAAAGCCUUCUUUGAAGUACUUCAAAAGUUCUUCCUUCAAAUGGAUGCUUGCAGACUCUCAACCAAGGUACAGCUGCUCAAGAACCAACUGUACGAAUGAGACAAUCACUGAUUUGGAUGCUGAAUGUUCCAUAGAACAGGAGAAAUAUUUUGGGCCGAAACUGAAAAUGGAACAGAGAAACUACACUUGAGUAAAACAACCAAUUUCUUUGCAAACUUUUGUAAAACUUACCAUACAUGAAAAGUGGUAGUUGAGUGUAGAGAAGUGAUGUAGAAUUGAGAGACCAUGCUGUGCAAAAACACUAAGCUGCAUCAAAAUCAAACUGCAAGGAAGUUGAAUCAUCAUACCAUCUUUCAUAUACCCGGGCCGUAAAAGAAAUGCUACUUUAACACAAAGUAGAUGUUUAAGUGUUAACAUCUAAAAUAAAGUCUCCAGUGGCAAGGCUGUUACAUGGAGAGACUAUUUUUUUUAAUGUAUUGUUUAUUAAUCCGU